GCCGGGCAUGGUGGCUCAUGCCUGUAAUCCCAGCACUUUGGGAGGCCGAGGUAGGUGGAUGGCUUGAGGCCAGGAGUUCAAGACCAACCUGGCCAACAUGAAGAAAUCUUGUCUCUACUAAAAAUACAAAAAUUAGUUGGGUGUGGUGGCGUGUGCUUGUACUCCCAAUUACUUGGGAGGUUGAGGCAGGAGAAUCACUUGAACCCAGGAGGCGGAGGUUGAAGUGAGCCAAGAUUGCACCAGUGUACUCCAGCCUGGGUGACAUAGUGAAACCCUGUCUCA
Molecule: small RNA, 282 nt
Filed under: Nomascus leucogenys (northern white-cheeked gibbon)
Lineage: Eukaryota; Metazoa; Chordata; Mammalia; Primates; Hylobatidae
Description: Metazoan signal recognition particle RNA (ENSNLEG00000034859.1)
Source: RNAcentral